UUCCCUUCGUCCAUUUAUUUAUAUGACACUCAAGCACAUAAUCCUUAAUUGGCUUCCGGAUCCCACCAUGCGCCCAUUCUCAUGAGGAUGUGGUUCCAUCUUGAAUCGUAGGCGUGCAGGACAGUAGGCCUCGAGAGUUCCGAUAAUUUCUUUCCGUAAGGGUAACCUGCGGAGGGAUCAUUACCGAGUUUACAACUCCCAAACCCCUGUGAACAUACCACUUGUUGCCUCGGCGGAUCAGCCCGCUCCCGGUAAAACGGGACGGCCCGCCAGAGGACCCCUAAAACUCUGUUUCUAUAUGUAACUUCUGAGUAAAACCAUAAAUAAAUCAAAACUUUCAACAACGGAUCUCUUGGUUCUGGCAUCGAUGAAGAACGCAGCAAAAUGCGAUAAGUAAUGUGAAUUGCAGAAUUCAGUGAAUCAUCGAAUCUUUGAACGCACAUUGCGCCCGCCAGUAUUCUGGCGGGCAUGCCUGUUCGAGCGUCAUUUCAACCCUCAAGCACAGCUUGGUGUUGGGACUCGCGUUAAUUCGCGUUCCUCAAAUUGAUUGGCGGUCACGUCGAGCUUCCAUAGCGUAGUAGUAAAACCCUCGUUACUGGUAAUCGUCGCGGCCACGCCGUUAAACCCCAACUUCUGAAUGUGACCUCGGAUCAUG
Molecule: ribosomal RNA, 655 nt
Filed under: Fusarium oxysporum f. sp. niveum
Lineage: Eukaryota; Fungi; Ascomycota; Sordariomycetes; Hypocreales; Nectriaceae
Description: eukaryotic LSU rRNA
Rfam family: 5.8S ribosomal RNA (bases 333-486)
Source: RNAcentral